Molecule: RNA transcript, 5420 nt
Organism: Lytechinus pictus (painted urchin)
Lineage: Eukaryota; Metazoa; Echinodermata; Echinoidea; Temnopleuroida; Toxopneustidae
Gene name: integrin alpha-9-like
Exons: 25
Source: RefSeq, a predicted model, not a curated record
AGUGGGUGCACCCAGAGGUACUCAGUCAUCGGGCUUAGGGCAGAAUGCGGAGAAACCAGGAAGCGUAUUUGAAUGCACCGUCGGAGAGUCUGUUCAAUGCAGGUCUAUCACAAUCGACAAUCCUUAUGGGACAGAUGCCGAGUCCCUCAAUACGGAAGGGAUUGUGGAUUAUCCAGAUAAUGGCUGGAUGGGCGUUUCUAUUGCUCACCAACAGGGGGCAAAUAAUGAACUCACAGUCUGUGGACAUCGUUAUGGAAAUAACUAUGCCAUCGUCCAGCCCAACGCAGACCUUUCUGAUGUAAAGAUAGAUCGUUAUACCCAGGGUAUAUGCAUCACACUAGACUCAGGUUUACAAGAUGUGUAUACCAGGUUUAACCCCUGUGCAGAAGAGAGCGCAUGGAGAGAUGAUCUAGUUGCAAAUGAAUCAACGCGCUGGCAAGGUUGGUGCCAGUUUGGUAUGAGCGCAGCUUACGCAAAAGAUGGUGAGGAUUCAGAAACCUUCGUCGCUGGUGCACCUGGAUCAUAUGACUGGACUGGUACUAUAUUCAAGCAACAAAUUGACACAGAUAAUCAAAUGGAUUCUGGUGUUUUAAGGGACUGGAAUACAGACUAUUCAUAUGAUGACUUCUUUCAAUAUGUCGGUUACUCUACAACUGUGGGAUAUUUCAGAACAAAUACCACUCAACAGGGUGCUUCGGGAGCGCCCAGGGCUGGAGGGUUAGUUGGCAAAGUUUACAUCCAUGACCUUCAAACAUUUCAAGUUUAUCAAGAGUUGCAAGGAGAGAUGAUGAAUACAUACUUUGGAGGUGCAGUAGCUGCUCUGGAUAUCAAUGGAGAUGGCUUCUCAGAUCUCCUUGUUGGUGCCCCACUGUAUUCCGUAGACCAAGAUGAAGGCAGAGUCUAUGUUUACAUCAACAGCGGAGGUACGAAUCCUGAUCUUGUACUCCAUCAAACGCUUGAUGGGACAUCGACUCCAGGCUCCAGGUUUGGCCAUGCUAUUGUCAGUCUCAACGACAUAACGGACGAUCUUCUGCCAGAAAUAGCGAUAGGGGCACCAUACGAAGGAGGAGGAGUGGUCUACAUAUACCAGUGUAUUGCAGGCGGAGUCGACGAGGCAUACUUACAGAGGAUUGAUGGAAGAGAUACAGAUCCUAAUGUUCAAACCUUUGGAAGCGCCAUCGCUGGAGGAGGGGAUAUUGACGAUAACUUUUACCCUGAUCUUGCCGUUGGAGCUUAUGCCAGCGAUUCUGUCUUUGUCUAUAAAACGAGACCCCUGCUUGACCUUGUGGUCACGCUGACGGUGACCCCCGACCCUCUCGAUCCAAAAAAUCCAUCGUGCAUAGAUUCAGUAGGUACAUGCAUAGAAAUUUCAGUCUGCUUCACCUACUCUGGGCCAAGAAAGGAAGCAUUACCUCAAUAUAUAGAUGUCAUAUUUGACAUUGAGUUGGACAAGGAGAAGACCGCAGCUGGAUUCAAGCCUCGAUUCCUGUUACAAAAUGGAACAGAAAUGUUAAACGAGUUAAGCGCUGCAAAGCAGAUCCGUAUGAAUGUUGAUAUAUGCUUCGAUUACAAAGCAUACCUUCAGAGUACUGCAUCAGACUUUCUCAGCCCCGUUCCUGUUGAUCUGACUUAUAUCCUGAGAGACUAUGAGCAUGAAGGACCACCACGUCAAGAUAGACCUCAGCAGUUUCCGUAUGGAAUCCCUCCCUUAAUGCUCAGCCCUCAGUGCCGAUCCAUCACAACAGUUGAAGAUCUCAAUUUUGUGAGAGAUUGUGGUGUCGAUGCCCUCUGCAGAACUGAUCUGAAACUGAUAGCCAACGUUUCAAUUGAAGGAAAUCCAACAGAGAUUAUUUCUGGCGGUCCAUCCAGACUCUACGUCAACGCCAGGAUCGAGAACGACGGGGAAGAGGCGCAUCAGGCUGUUCUUACCAUUACCCACCCUUACGACAUGAGAUAUGAGGGUCUUGAAACUAACGAGUUGUCUUGCCUUGAUGAUAAUGAAUGCGAUGCAAGAGCUCUUGUACUUUGUGAACCAACGGUGGCAGGCGUGAAAUGCGACCUGGGAAAUCCUAUGAAUUCUUACAUAGUGAGCACUCUCCGGCUUCGCUUUGACAUCGGGGGUCUUAUCUAUGACCCUGGUAGAAUCGUCAACAUUGUGAUAUCAGCUAACACUAGUAGUUUGCAGACCCCUGAAAGCCUUGCUGACAACAUCCUUGAAGUUGAUUAUAAGCUGGUCAUAGGUGCAGAUGUUGGAAUUUUUGGGUCCAGUACCCCUGAGAGUGUAUACUAUGUCAGUAAUGGUUCAAACUACGCCACUGCACAAGCAGCUGAGAAGUCUCUCCAAGCGGCUGUAAACAUGUCGCUUAUAUCGCCUACAUCACCGUCCUUCAACGACACACACAUUGGAAGCCCGUUCACACUCUCAUACCAGAUCACCAAUGACGGUCCUGGUCAACUACCAUUCUCUUCUGUGGUCACUAUUCACAUUCCAUGGCGUAUGCUCAACGGCGAUUGGCUUAUCUUCAUUAAAAAUAUCAAUAUAAUAGAUAGAACGAACACUGGAUCCUGCAACGGUGAAGAAAUAAUAGAACUCCAGAAUAGACGGCUCCUAGAGAGAUAUAGAGGGACCUCCUUCUAUCGUGAUCCCGCCCCUGAAGAAGAUAUAUCGCCCAUCUUUGACACCAGCGAGGGCAACCAACAACUGGGAUGCACUCAAGCGAAGUGUGUAGCAUUAACGUGUUAUGUUAACCAGAUGCAAGCACGUCAAGUUGUGGAGGUUAGGAUAGACGCAAUUCCGUGGGAACACACCAUUAUUACGAGGAGGCUUGGCUAUGUUGAGAUCCUGACAGAAGCUGAGUUUGUUGCUCAAUCACCGAGUGGAAGUUUUGGGCAAGGAGAAGACGCCAACCCGGAUAGGAUACAGCUUCCAAUCAAGCUUUACACCGAAAUGAAAGGAGCUGGUGAAUUACCCAUCUGGAUAAUCAUCGUCAGUAUACUUGCUGGUCUCAUUCUACUCAUCGUCCUCAUCCUCUUAUUAUGGAAGUGUGGCUUCUUCAAGAGAAAGACUCGCAAGGACUGGGAAGAAGAAGCAGAUGGUGCUGCCCCAAUGCCCAUUAAACCUCCAGUAGACCCUACCGGCGAACUAGACGGCUCUGAUUUACCAAUGAUGAAAGGACUGGCAGCAAAAGAGUAACAUCCCUAUUCCAAUCUUCAGGAUCUUCCAAAACUUGCAAUAUAAGAGAGACUUUCCCAUGGAUGCUAGCUCUUUUCUGUGUACUGAAAGAUCCCCUGUGUAGUAAUUUGUCUGCUGGUACUGGUUGUUUAAAAGCACCUCUUUUUGGUACCUGAACGAAUUCUGUGCCACGUUUGGUAGCAGCUAUCAGCCAGAAUCCCACCCAGCAUCUUUUCUUUUGUAGUCGUCCAAGUUGUGUGUAUAGGCAAAACAACAAGGGAUUAAGAAAGCUGUUGUGAUGUGCAAAGUUCUAUGCUAUGUUUAGCCGCAGCUUUCGGCUGGAAUCACACCCAGCCUCUUAUGUAGACUUCCAAGUUGUGUUUAGCCAAAACAACAAGGGAUUUAGAAAGAACGAUGUUGUGAUGUGCAAAGGUCCAUGGUAUUUUUAAGAUCACUUUUCAGCCGGAAUCCCAACCAGUUUUUUUUCCUUUAUAACCCCUCAAGUUGUCCAUAAGCAAUGACGAGGGAUUUGGAAAGCUUCCUGUGGUACCGUACUUGCGGUGGAGAAAAUGAAUGAGAUUCAUGUAAACGUGCCUUAAUUUGAACGAUAAUAUAAUUACUUGAUUGAAGGGAAAAGAAAUUGUCAUCUAAUCAUUGAACCAGCAAAGAACUCUUCCAAGUUCCAUUAAAAGACUUAGAUAAUUGAUAGAUAUAGAGAACACUUGAAACAUUUUAUGCAAUCAUUUCCAGUUUUGAUAGUUGAGAUAUAUAUUAAUAUUUCAUCAUUAUUUGUGGUAUUUCAUAAACUUGUUGAUAAUUUAUGUACACUUUAUGCAUGACUAGUUACUUGAACUUUUCAGAGUCUCAAAUUUUGUUUCUCAUCAGCUAUUUGAUUUUUCUAAAUUGCGUGCUUCAUUCAAUAAAAAACAAUCAAACUAAACAGAUCAUUAAGAGAACAGAAAUCUGAUCUUUGCAGAUCUUUUGUCAUGAAUAAGCAUCAGAAUGCAAAAUUUAUUCUUUGUAAACAUUUUCAAGGGUUAUAGGAAAUUAAUGUCUGUUAUGUUAAAACCAGAAGUAUUUAAACUCGGGUUACUAGUCAUGCUUGAAGUUGUGCGUAAAUUACAAAUAACAUUAUGAAACACCCCUGAUUAUAUGUGCAUAUGUUGUAUGUAGGCCUUUGUCUGCAUUCCCAUACAUGACAUAUAUUAAGGAAAUGUAGCCGACUAGAACCUUUCCCUGCAGUUGAUAUUGUAAUAUUUAUGAUAUUUAUAAUAUGGACUGCUAGAAUAGAGAGUUUGCAUUUAAAUGCCAAUUUCGAAUAUUUAGCAAUUGCUAAAAGGUGUCAGUACAAGGUUUUUAGCUGGAUAGUACUGGGUUGAAAAUUAUUGUACAAAUUUACACAUAAAACUUAUUCUGCACCAAAGACUUUUUAAGUAAUUUGAUAUAUGCUGGUAUUUUUUCACUGGUUGUCAGUGCCUUACUACAAAUGAGGACAAUAUGUUAAUGGCACUUAUUAGGUUAUCUUUCUGUUGACAGAUUACCUUUUAUGUCUCUACAAAUUUUCUUUUUAUUUCUUUAUUUUUAUUAUUGUUUAUUUUCCUCAUUCCACCCUUUUCUUUUUCCCACAAAAUCUCCAAAACUCCUUUAUCAAUUUUCAUCAAUAUUUUUUCAUUUAUGCGGACCUAUCAUGCGAUGUGUAUGAAACAAGUUCAAGCUCAAAUAAUUAUCAUGACGUCAUCUAGGCGCCAUUUUGUAAAAUCAGAUUAUCAAUCAUAUCUCCAUUAUCAUUUCUCAAAAAUCAAACAUAUGUACAUCAUAUCAACUUCAAGUCAAGGGUCAACUAUCCAUGCCAUUAAGGUCAUGCACUUGCAAAAGUCAAUUUUAGAUUAUGUUUCAUUCUUUGCCUUAUGGGUGUAAGAGAAAUAUUGUGGUCGAAUGGAUAGUGCAUCUGCCUUAUAAAGCGAGGGUCCCUGGUUUAAAACCCACUUGAAGUUUUUACUAUUUAUUUAUUUGUAUCCUUUUGCUCAUAACACAUUUAUCAUGUGCAAAGUUUUUUUUACUCACACGGUACACAAAAGUGUAUCCAAAUGAGAUACUGUUACUCCAUGAGUAUACCCUCCUCAAAUUAUGACUUGAUAUCAUGCCAUAUCAUUUUCUCACUAGGAUCUUAUUUUUUAUGGAGUUUGUCACGUUUUAGACAUCUCGUAUGCAAAUAAAUUUGCUCACUUGAUAGUUAAGAAAGGAAAAA